This is a small nucleolar RNA of Otolemur garnettii (small-eared galago), 108 nucleotides long. The record is from Ensembl. NCBI's taxonomy places the organism in Eukaryota, Metazoa, Chordata, Mammalia, Primates, Galagidae.
ACUUGCUUAGAAAAGAACUUCUCUAAGAAUUGGAGGCAAAGAAAAGUGGAUUUGGAGAAGUCUGGGGCCAGCUUCCUCCCCAGGCUCAAGAUCAACCAUCCCACAUAG